UCCUUAGGAAAAGCCUAAGAUUAGAGAUCCAGAACUCUUACACCUUCAUUUUUCUGCAGGAGAAGUGAGAUGUGAGGCUCCCAAUAACAAAUUGGACAAAUUCUCAGGAAUACUGACCUAUAAGGGGAAAAACUACUUCCUGGACCAUGACAAGCUGCUACUCUGAGGCUGCAACAUCAGGAAUACAGAUUGGUGCUAUGGCUUGGUGAUCUACACUGGGCCAGAUACCAAAUUAAUGCAGAAUAGUGGAAAGUCCACUUUUAAACGAACACAGAUAGACCAUCUCAUGAAUGUCCUUGUACUCUGGGCAUCGUGUGUUUUGUCCUAGCAGUUGGGCAUGGCAUUUGGCAGAACAAGAAAUGCUACCACUUCCAGAUUUUUCUGCCAUGGGUAAAAUAUGUCUCUUCAUCAGCUGUCUCUGCCAUCCUCAUAUUCUGGUCCUACUUCAUUAUUCUCAAUACCAUGGUGCCCAUUUCCCUCUAUGUCAGUGUUGAAAUAAUAAGAUUGGGCAACAGUUUAUAUAUCAACUGGGAUCGGAAGAUGUUUUAUGCACCAAGGAACACACCAGCACAGGUGAUACUUAUGACAAGGAUGGACAGAGGGUGACGGUCUCUGAGACAGUUUAUGAGACCUGGUUUAUCACAUGCUACAGUCUGGUCUACACUUCCCUCCCUGUCCUGUGCAUGAGUCUGUUUGAUCAGUAACCCAUAAGGAAGCUCCUAGGCAGCCUGGCAGCAGACCUGGUGAGGGGAGAAGCCUCUACUCUGAUGGAGAUGGGACCUUCUAUGGAGAGACCCUGAGCCUCCCUCCUUACCCUCGGGUGCUUCCAGGAUGUGAAUGAGACAUGGAGCCUCCAUUUCCCAGAGCUGUAUGAGCCAGGCCAGCACAACCUCUAUUUCAACAAGAAAGAAUUUGUGAAGUGUUU
This 925-nucleotide long non-coding RNA is filed under the name Homo sapiens (human). RNAcentral's name for it is "non-protein coding lnc-RUSC2-2:6". Lineage: Eukaryota; Metazoa; Chordata; Mammalia; Primates; Hominidae. The record is from RNAcentral.